This 695-nucleotide long non-coding RNA is filed under the name Bos taurus (domestic cattle). Its description in RNAcentral is "long non-coding RNA NONBTAT018211". Lineage: Eukaryota; Metazoa; Chordata; Mammalia; Artiodactyla; Bovidae. The record is from RNAcentral.
CCAGACUACCUGCGCCAGAUACACUUAAGAUGCAUGUUAAUUGUGCAAAUUCAUUGGCUCCUAAGCAUCUUCCUCCUAGGUGGCACCCAAUUGAUUCUUACGUACAAUGACGUUGGGGUCCAAAUUACUUCCUUUUAUCUAUAACUGUGUAACCUUUGUUCUGGAUAGAAAUGUCAAAUAAUGUUUCCUGUGAUAAUUUAAAACAACUGGGGAGAUAGGACUCAGCUUCCUUAAACAGUUUUGAAAACCAGUUUUCUUAUAGGCAAAAAGGAUUAGAGUCUUUGAAGUUUGGUGUUUAAUAUAGUAUUCUAAAUUCAUUUUUUAAAAUGUCAUCAUUUUAAAACUACUCUGUAUCAUUUUAUGGGUUAAACCAUACACGUUUAAAAAUGACUAUGACAUCUUGCCUAAAAAGUAUUCAUGUCUGUGAUAGCUCAGAAGGUGAUUUUUUUAGCUGGGUUUAUAAAUCCUGUAUAGUAGGAUUACUACUGUAAGUUUAUUAUUGGUCAUUUUGUUAAGAUUUAAAAUACUCCUAAAAGGCCCUUAAUUCCAAAGUUUCUUGAUAGUAGUUCAAACUAGUUGAGAAUUCUGUAAGUGAUUUGCUGUUGUUGAACUAGAGCUCCUACUUAGCUAUUGGGCUGUAGCAUAGUGCCAGACUUCUGAGGUACAGAGAUAAUGAUCUUUUCACAUUCCUGGGG